RNAcentral lists this ribosomal RNA (784 nucleotides) under uncultured Neocallimastigales. Its description in RNAcentral is "partial large subunit ribosomal RNA". It matches the Rfam family "Eukaryotic large subunit ribosomal RNA", at positions 26 to 614 of the family's 3401-position model. The record is from RNAcentral. Lineage: Eukaryota; Fungi; Neocallimastigomycota; Neocallimastigomycetes; Neocallimastigales.
CGUCUAUAUACGUAUAGCAUAUCAAUAAGCGGAGGAAAAGAAACUAACAAGGAUUCCCUUAGUAACGGCGAGUGAAGCGGGAAGAGCUCAAAUUUGAAAUCUUCAAGGUUUUACCUUGACGAAUUGUAGUUUAAAGAAGUGUUUUCUGUUAGAGAGUUUAGGUAAAAGUUCCUUGGAAUAGGGACAUCAUAGAGGGUGAGAAUCCUGUAUUUGACCAUUAUUUUCUAGCUGUGUGAUACACUUUCAAAGAGUCGGAUUGUUUGGGAAUGCAGUCCAAAAUGGGUGGUAAAUUUCAUCUAAAGCUAAAUAUUGGCGAGAGACCGAUAGCGAACAAGUACCGUGAGGGAAAGAUGAAAAGAACUUUGAAAAGAGAGUUAAACAGUACGUGAAAUUGUCAAAAGGGAAGCGUUUGACACCAGUGUUGUUUUUCCGAAAAUCAAUUAGGACUGGCUGGAUUUUGUAGUUGUAGUUGACCUUAUCAGCUUUCUUCAGCUCUUUUUCGAGUCUGGUGCUUAAUGCACUUUUCGGUUAACAAGUCAACAUCAAUUUCUUUUGUUGUAAAAGGGUAUUUGGAAGGUGGCUUUCUUUUCGGAGAAAGUGUUUAUAGCCUUAUACCUCUACAAUCGGAGAGAUUGAGGUCUGCAGCGUAGAUCCUUCGGGGCUAGAUACACUUGUGCUAAGUUAUAGCUUUUCAUAGACAACUUGUUGACUAUGUUUAGUCAUGUAGCUUACCCGCUUGUGCUAUUUUACCUACGCUUAGGAUGUUGAGUCAUCACACAUCUCU